CCUACGGGAGGCAGCAGUGGGGAAUAUUGCACAAUGGGCGAAAGCCUGAUGCAGCAAUGCCGCGUGUGUGAAGAAGGCUCUAGGGUUGUAAAGCACUUUCAAUAAGGAAGAAAAGCAUGAGGUUAAUAACCUUAUGUAUUGACGUAACUUAUACAAGAAGCACCGGCUAAUUCCGUGCCAGCAGCCGCGGUAAUACGGAAGGUGCAAGCGUUAAUCGGAAUUACUGGGCGUAAAGCGCGCGUAGGCUGUUAUCUAAGUCGGAUGUGAAAUCCUCGGGCUCAACCUGGGAACUGCAUCCGAAACUGAAUAACUAGAGUAUGGGAGAGGUAAGUAGAAUUUCCGGUGUAGCGGUGAAAUGCGUAGAUAUCGGAAGGAAUACCAGUGGCGAAGGCGGCUUACUGGACCAAUACUGACGCUGAGGUGCGAAAGCGUGGGGAGCGAACAGGAUUAGAUACCCUGGUAGUCCACGCCGUAAACGAUGAGAACUAGAUGUUGGGAGGGUUAGCCUCUCAGUGUCGCAGCUAACGCAUUAAGUUCUCCGCCUGGGGAGUACGACCGCAAGGUUGAAACUCAAAGGAAUUGACGG
This 586-nucleotide ribosomal RNA is filed under the name uncultured Gammaproteobacteria bacterium. RNAcentral describes it as "bacterial SSU rRNA". It matches the Rfam family "Bacterial small subunit ribosomal RNA", at positions 338 to 916 of the family's 1533-position model. Lineage: Bacteria; Pseudomonadati; Pseudomonadota; Gammaproteobacteria. The record is from RNAcentral.